CUCUAUAGCUCAGUGGUUAGAGCAGGGGAUUCAUAAGCCCAAGGUCGUAGGUUCAAAUCCAACUAGAGC
Molecule: transfer RNA, 69 nt
Filed under: Craspedostauros australis
Lineage: Eukaryota; Bacillariophyta; Bacillariophyceae; Mastogloiales; Achnanthaceae
Rfam family: tRNA
About the family: Transfer RNA (tRNA) molecules are approximately 80 nucleotides in length.
Source: RNAcentral